AAUGAAGAAAACAACACUAGCUUUGCUUCUUCUAAGUCUACUUCAUAUACUUCUAUGUCUAUCUUUUCAUGUUUGCGUCACAGAGGCUCGAUUCCGUCACCUAGGUGAGGAACGGAUGUACACACCCCCAUCUCCAGCAUGUGGAGGUUCUCCUAGAGCGAGUUUUGAUACGCUUAUUACAGGGCAAACUAAAAGGGCUUGUAGAAAAAGUCCAAGAUCUCGAAGAACUAGACGUCCUCACGUGUAGGUUUGAGAUUCAACCAAAGAUUUCAAGAGAAGCCCACAUGCAUCCACCCAUGCAUUGUUUCGAUUCAAUCAUUGCUUCAUUAUUACCUUUUUAAUCUUUUUCGAUAAAAAAAAAAAAAAAA
Molecule: long non-coding RNA, 368 nt
Organism: Capsella rubella
Lineage: Eukaryota; Viridiplantae; Streptophyta; Magnoliopsida; Brassicales; Brassicaceae
Exons: 2
Source: RefSeq, a predicted model, not a curated record